This 274-nucleotide ribosomal RNA is filed under the name uncultured bacterium. RNAcentral describes it as "partial 16S ribosomal RNA". It matches the Rfam family "Bacterial small subunit ribosomal RNA", at positions 523 to 796 of the family's 1533-position model. The record is from RNAcentral.
AUACGGAGGGUGCAAGCGUUAUCCGGAAUCGUUGGGUUUAAAGGGUCCGUAGGCGGGCUAAUAAGUCAGGGGUGAAAUCCCACAGCUUAACUGUGGAACUGCCCUUGAUACUGUUGGUCUUGAGUUACAGUGAAGUGGUUAGAAUGUGUAGUGUAGCGGUGAAAUGCAUAGAGAUUACACAGAAUACCGAUUGCGAAGGCAGAUCACUACCUGUAUACUGACGCUAAUGGACGAAAGCGUGGGGAGCGAACAGGAUUAGAAACCCCAGUAGUCC